RNAcentral lists this ribosomal RNA (432 nucleotides) under uncultured bacterium. RNAcentral describes it as "partial 16S ribosomal RNA". It matches the Rfam family "Bacterial small subunit ribosomal RNA", at positions 29 to 507 of the family's 1533-position model. The record is from RNAcentral.
ACGCACGCUGGCGGCAGGCCUCACACAUGCCAGUCGAGCGGACCCUUCGGGGUUAGCGGCGGACGGGUGAGUAACGCGUGGGAAUAUGCCCUUCUCUACGGAAUAGUCCUGGGAAACUGGGGGUAAUACCGUAUACGCCCUUUGGGGGAAAGAUUUAUCGGGGAAGGAUUAGCCCGCGUUGGAUUAGGUAGUUGGUGGGGUAAUGGCCUACCAAGCCGACGAUCCAUAGCUGGUUUGAGAGGAUGAUCAGCCACACUGGGACUGAGACACGGCCCAGACUCCUACGGGAGGCAGCAGUGGGGAAUCUUAGACAAUGGGGGCAACCCUGAUCGAGCCAUGCCGCGUGAGUGAUGAAGGCCUUAGGGUUGUAAAGCUCUUUCAGCUGGGAAGAUAAUGACGGUACCAGCAGAAGAAGCCCCGGCUAACUCCGUG